Zootermopsis nevadensis is the source of this 73-nucleotide non-coding RNA. Lineage: Eukaryota; Metazoa; Arthropoda; Insecta; Blattodea; Termopsidae. The record is from Rfam.
GUCAUGGUGGUCUAGCGGUUAGAACGCUGGCCUUGUAAUCCUGGGGUCCCGGGUUCGAUUCCCGGCGGUGCCC